UAAAAUAUAGUUAUGUAUAGUUUUAUACGCAAGGAAAGCCAAACGGGCAUGAUGUUUAAUUUUUAAUACGCUUUUAUUAGCUUCAGACGUAUGUAUGUUAUAAUCUUCGAUCAAUAAUACUACUAGAUUCGCGAUUAGCGCUUCAAAAACGGCCCGAAAAAUAAGACCACAAAUAAAUUUGUGGUCUUAUUUCAAAUUAGUAUGGUCCAAUCAUAGCCAACACUAAGACGUCAAAACGCUGCAAUGCGCGUUCAAAAACUGAGUAAAAAACCACCGUAACACCAAGGUUUUGGAAGGAAUAUCUUUUUUUGGUAAAUUUAUAUUAUUAAGUGUUUUUCAUAAAAUAAUAAACACAAUUAUAUUGUAAAUAAAACACAAUUUACGAAUAUUGUAAUUGUUUGGCCAAUGUUUGCAACAAGGCACCAACUAUUGUAACAAACAUCACCUAUUCUUGGACAGGGAAUGCAUAGAGUAGUUUUGUUAUUUUAUAAUGUUAUUUUUGUUUGUAGAUUUCCUAGUAGCCCCUUGUCGCUGUGCACAAUGGAUAUAUAUUGUCGCGAAAGAAAGAGAAGAAAUAUAGAACCCUUAUAAAAAUUCUAGAAUUGUUCAAUGGUGGUGGCAAAUCAAUGCAAAAAAGUAUUAAAAAAACUUUAUAUGUAUGUGUAAAUAUUUUAAGCGUAUAUGCUGAAAAGGAUUUGUUUUCUGGGGGAAACGAACACAGCCAUAAAAUAAGCCUAAAUUAAACUGAUUAUAGAAAAAUUCAUUGAUAUAAGAUUACAUUAUAUUUGUAAAAAAGAAACCGCUCAUAUAAAAAUGACUUCUAAAAGACAGCUUUAUAACAAACUGAAUCUGUUUAAAGGUAAUUAAACCUACAUUAUUGUUUUAAUUACUUCUGUAUAAAGAAUACGUGGAAAACAUGUUUCGUGUUUCCUUUCAUAUUUUUUUUACUUUAUUCAAUUUUAUUUUUUAUCACCUAUUUGUUGUAAUAGCGGCAAUGUCAAAUAUUAUCUACUACUUUUUCAAUCGGUCAAAAAUAGUUGCGACCAUACAAAACAAACCUAAAACAAAUAUGUAUAUUCUGCAACUCUAUGUCUUUCAAUAUUUACUGUGUUCUGAGCAUUGAAAUGUAAUACCAAGAACUACAUCUAGUUCCACAAUACAAUAAGCCCGAAAUUUUAAACAAAUAUUUUUAACCUUAUAAAUUAGGCUUUAAGUAUCAUUUUAGAAUAAAUAUUUUUGUACUGAUGACUUUUUAUGUUCAAGUGACAUUUUAAAUUUAUUCCAUAAUAUUCUUUUUCUGACGAAAGGACCUAAAUACAUAUAUUUUGCAAUGGUAAUUAAACUUUAUGUUUAAGUAUUAAGGUUUAUAAUAAACUGAAGUCGUUAACAUUAUUAAACUUUUUUCUAAGACAUGAAGAUGUUUUCGUGUCUGCAAACGUGGCCACUGGAGCGUCUCAUUUUUGUUCCUGAUCCUUAAUCUAGUACUAUUAUUGAUCGAAGGCCGGGAGCAUGUUAACGAAUCAACGUCACGUGAUACAUUGAUGGCUGUGAUUGGCCAACGAUGACGUCAUAUCGCACGAACCAAUCACAAAACAGGAAACGCAACAGUGGCACCAAUUGUCAAAAUUUAAAAUUAUUAUAACACGAAGAAAAAAGAUGGACGCGCAUUUCAAUUUUGUAUUUGUAAAAUAAUUAAAAACAAUAUAAUGAGUAUUUGAAGAAGUAAA
Long non-coding RNA from Bombyx mori (domestic silkworm), 1727 nucleotides. RefSeq lists it as uncharacterized. The transcript is spliced from 2 exons. The record is from RefSeq and is a predicted model, not a curated record. NCBI's taxonomy places the organism in Eukaryota, Metazoa, Arthropoda, Insecta, Lepidoptera, Bombycidae.